AGGACGAACGCUGGCGGCGUGCCUAACACAUGCAAGUCGAGCGGGGAGAGGAAGCUUGCUUCCGAAUCCUAGCGGCGGACGGGUGAGUAACGCGUGAGCAACCUGCCUCUUACAGGGGGAUAACGCAUCGAAAGAUGUGCUAAUACCGCGUAAGACCACGGUACCGCAUGGUACAGGGGUCAAAGGAGCAAUCCGGUAAGAGAUGGGCUCGCGUCCGAUUAGCUAGUUGGUGAGAUAAAAGCCCACCAAGGCGACGAUCGGUAGCCGACCUGAGAGGGUGAUCGGCCACAUUGGAACUGAGAAACGGUCCAGACUCCUACGGGAGGCAGCAGUGGGGAAUAUUGGGCAAUGGGCGAAAGCCUGACCCAGCAACGCCGCGUGAGGGAAGAAGGGUUUCGGCUCGUAAACCUCUGUCCUAUGGGACGAAGAAGUGACGGUACCAUAGGAGGAAGCCCCGGCUAACUACGUG
Molecule: ribosomal RNA, 469 nt
Filed under: uncultured bacterium
Lineage: Bacteria
Description: bacterial SSU rRNA
Rfam family: Bacterial small subunit ribosomal RNA
Source: RNAcentral